Molecule: long non-coding RNA, 1580 nt
Organism: Mauremys mutica (yellowpond turtle)
Lineage: Eukaryota; Metazoa; Chordata; Testudines; Geoemydidae
Exons: 4
Source: RefSeq, a predicted model, not a curated record
ACUUGUUUUUUUUUUUUUUUCAUUUUUCAAGUCUAAGAGGCAACAGCAGUAUAAAUGAGUGUUCAUCGGACUCUCUUUACUAAUAGUAAUUUUCAUAAUGAAUUCCUACUUAGCACUUUCAAAACAUUUCAUAGCUACUAACAAAUCCUCAAAACACAUCUGUGAAAUAUGUAUUACUAGAAUGCUUAGAAUUACUAGAAAUACUGCAAAAACGUUAUUCAGACCUAUUUUAAGAAUGAACAUCUGUAUUUGUAUGGCACAAGGUUAUGCAUUAUUCAUUAUUGGCUAUUCAUCAAUCCUUAUUCUCCUGUUCACAAAAUCUUCCAUCCAAUCAGAGAGCAGAAACAGAACUGUGUAACCCAGAUGACCAAUCACAUUUCAGAAGAGCUGAUAAUGGAAGUGAAUGACUCACAUAUAUCCCAUCUCUUCAAAUAAACUCUGGUACACUGUUCUGUGAGUAAGGAAGACAUGACCAGAGAUCAGCAAUGGUUUGUGAACAAUUCAGAAACAGAAGAAAAGUUUUAUGAUCAGAUUAUUUAUUCACCAUGAAUAAUUGACCUGCUCUAAUGAAUAUCCCCAUUUUAUAGUUAGGAAAACUGAUACCCAGGGAGGUUAACCAACUUGUCCAGUUUCUACACUUAAUUUAGAACUGAGUUUAGAACUCAAUGAUUCCUGGUUCCCAGUAUCUAGACAGGAAACAUAAGAAAAGCGUUGACAUCCAUUUGGGUUCUGUGUGACAUUUGGUGUUUGCUAAUUUGCAUUUCAGCAUCUGAGGAGGAGAGCAGAAUAUAUAUCUGGCAACUGAUUUGCAUAAUUUCUUUUACUCUGAAUGCCAUAGGAGUCACCAUCAUCAUCUUGAUAUGCAAGAAAAUCACAGGGAAUAAACCAAUGAGUAGCAGCAUGCCAUGCACUCCUGCGGAGAGAAAGAAUUUGAAUCAAGAUGGAGGAGAGAGACACCAGCACCAGCCAACACCUAAAUGCCACCAGAGUGUUUCCUAUCAAAAUGAGAACUGAUGUGGCAAACCCACAGGUGCCGAGGCUCUGAACUGACAAGCCAUGAGGUGCCAGGGCUCAACCCUGACACAAAUGAAGCACUGCUUUUAUCACCUGUGUAGUCUCAGAACCUGCCUUAAUAACCAUUUACCACGUACAUAGUGCUUCUCACCCAUAGCCCUCAAAGUGCUAUAUAUAGCGGCAAACCCCAGGAAGUCGUCAGCGCAAGAGAACCCCAUUUUCAAAAUCAAAGGACAGUCAAAGAGAGACACUGGUACCCAGAGCAAUGUUUCAAGAAGAGAACGAGGAAGGCAAUCUGAAUCAUUCAUUUGUGGAAGGGGUUGAAGAGAUUGAAGACUCCGUUUUUAAAAAUUAAGAGAAGGUAAACUUUCACUGCUGCAAAUGAAAAAAGCAGAGAAACCAGUAUCACUAACUCAGCAUUCAAACCAGCCCCAAAGAAGAACUUAAGAGACUUAUCACUACAAAAGUUUUUUUUUCUCCUGCUGACAAUAGUUCAUCUUAAUUAAUUAGCCUCUUAGAGUUGGUAUGGCAACUCCCACCUUUUCAUGUUCUCUGUAUGUAUAUAU